Molecule: ribosomal RNA, 497 nt
Filed under: uncultured bacterium
Lineage: Bacteria
Description: partial 16S ribosomal RNA
Rfam family: Bacterial small subunit ribosomal RNA
Source: RNAcentral
GAUGAACGCUGGCGGCGUGCCUAAUACAUGCAAGUCGAGCGAACAGAUGAGGAGCUUGCUCCUCUGACGUUAGCGGCGGACGGGUGAGUAACACGUGGAUAACCUACCUAUAAGACUGGGAUAACUUCGGGAAACCGGAGCUAAUACCGGAUAAUAUAUUGAACCGCAUGGUUCAAUAGUGAAAGACGGUUUUGCUGUCACUUAUAGAUGGAUCCGCGCCGCAUUAGCUAGUUGGUAAGGUAACGGCUUACCAAGGCAACGAUGCGUAGCCGACCUGAGAGGGUGAUCGGCCACACUGGAACUGAGACACGGUCCAGACUCCUACGGGAGGCAGCAGUAGGGAAUCUUCCGCAAUGGGCGAGAGCCUGACGGAGCAACGCCGCGUGAGUGAUGAAGGUCUUCGGAUCGUAAAACUCUGUUAUUAGGGAAGAACAAAUGUGUAAGUAACUAUGCACGUCUUGACGGUACCUAAUCAGAAAGCAACGGCUAACUACGUG